UGACUACAAUGUCAUUAUAGUCCCUGUUGGUGUAAUGGUCAGGCAUUCGAAUACUUCUGUCCAUAUAGUGUAUAUCUGUAUGUCGUUUCAGUCAUAUGUUACUUGGUGAGAUACUUUUCAAACAAUGUUUUACUCCAGGUGUUAUUAAUUUAGCACAAGGACCUUAAAAAUGCUCUUUUUGAAUAUGUACAAAAGACCAAACAAGAUACAGGACAUACUUGCAAUGUUCUGCCCCUAAAGUUCAUCUGGUACUAAAAAAAUGUUUGUUGUUGUUGUUGUGCUGUGUUUGUUUGUUUCAACAGAGAGGUUAUAGGUUAGAUGUGUGGAAAGUCCCUAUGAGACAUUUGCAGAAGUGUCUGAGGUAGUGCUUGCACGUGCGUGUUUAUGGUUAAGCGUUGCAACAGUUGGCACCACUCGUAUGCCUCUCAGAGUAACCUGUUUUCGUGAGUUCUCAUGUGAAACAAACGCUGCCCUGAGCUCUUUCAUAAGACUGAAGUGAGGCAAGGGCUUCACCUCUCAAACUCAACAGGCAAAACACCCUUGUGUUUUUUUUUUUUUUGGUCUUGCCUCACUCACUCAUUUUUUUUCUUGUUUUCUUACUUAAACCUCUUAUGAUCUCUUCACGCCAUUCCUGUAGCAAAGCACAAUUUGGAGGUUAUAAUCCUUAACUACUUCUGAAUGAUUUGAUAUGUUAUUUUUCUGUUAGUGAGGUUUGAGUCAACAAGACACAACAGACCUCUGUAGUCCCUCUCGGCCGAGGCAGCCUGGUCCCAUGGGAGACAGCGAGAUACGAGGGGAGAGUCCCUGCAGUCUUUUCAUGUCCAACGUUGAGUUUCACUCGUCUUGGUUUUGUUUAUUGAGAUUGAGAACAUUUAAUUAUUCCAUUUUGGUGGACUUUGUAGCUAGCCGAUUAAUUCCUCUCUAAAGUAGGCUACUGAGCUGAAAUCACCCAAAUAAUGACAACAAUAGCAUUUCCCCUUUGUUGUUGACAGAUUUAGUGAAGAAACCAGUAGUAUUGUUGCUUUUAUAAGUU
Molecule: long non-coding RNA, 1033 nt
Organism: Clupea harengus (Atlantic herring)
Lineage: Eukaryota; Metazoa; Chordata; Actinopteri; Clupeiformes; Clupeidae
Source: Ensembl